CGGCGGACGGGUGAGUAACGCGUGGGCAACCUGCCUUACACAGGGGGAUAACAGUUAGAAAUGACUGCUAAUACCGCAUAAGACCACAGUACUGCAUGGUACAGUGGUAAAAACUCCGGUGGUGUAAGAUGGGCCCGCGUCUGAUUAGGUAGUUGGCGGGGUAACGGCCCACCAAGCCGACGAUCAGUAGCCGACCUGAGAGGGUGACCGGCCACAUUGGGACUGAGACACGGCCCAGACUCCUACGGGAGGCAGCAG
This 258-nucleotide ribosomal RNA is filed under the name uncultured bacterium. RNAcentral describes it as "partial 16S ribosomal RNA". It matches the Rfam family "Bacterial small subunit ribosomal RNA", at positions 96 to 354 of the family's 1533-position model. The record is from RNAcentral.